UGGGCCCUAAAAAGUUCUACCGGCA
RNAcentral lists this transfer RNA (25 nucleotides) under Paradoxophyla palmata (web-foot frog). RNAcentral describes it as "partial tRNA-Phe". The record is from RNAcentral. Lineage: Eukaryota; Metazoa; Chordata; Amphibia; Anura; Microhylidae.